Papaver somniferum (opium poppy) is the source of this 1557-nucleotide long non-coding RNA. RefSeq lists it as uncharacterized. The record is from RefSeq and is a predicted model, not a curated record. NCBI's taxonomy places the organism in Eukaryota, Viridiplantae, Streptophyta, Magnoliopsida, Ranunculales, Papaveraceae. The transcript is spliced from 9 exons.
CCUCUUCCUCUCUUUUUCAUUGUUCCUCGUCCUCUCUCUCGAUCUCUCAGAAGAAACAGGGUCGAAGAGAAACUCAUCUCUCUUCUUCGCUGUUCUUCGUUUUUUCUCUUCCCAACUUCUUCUUUUUCGCUGUUAUUUGUUUUUUUUCUUCUCAAAAGCAUGAACUGAGAAAUUGUUCAUAUCAAUUGAGAAGUAAUAUGGAGAAGUAAAUGGAUCAGGAAGGUGUUCCUGAGGUUGUGAAUUUGGUUUUGGUUAGGGUUAUUAUUGAUUGAAGAAUGACGAAUCAGUAAGAAAUAAAGUUAGGGUUUCUGCAGUUAGUAUUGAGUUUGUGCAAAAUCGAAGGAGGAAUUGGUGGAUUGAAUAGCAGGAGGAGAUGGUGGAGUUGUAUUAACUCGGGUUAUAGAGGAUAGGGUAAAUCAGAGAGAGAAAGUUAUGGUUUGGAAAUUGAUUUAAGGUUCAAUUUAGCGAUAGAUGAGAAGAAAUCAAAGACUGGGUUUGGUGGUUUGAGAAGUUAAUCGAUGUUUCGAACAGAUGGUUCUGAGUAUAGAUGAUGGUGAUUGAAGAUGAAACCGAUGGUUAGGGUUUAGAAUUUGAUUUAAGGUUGCAUGACUUCUUUAUACAAAUUCUGGUGGUGGUGUAUUCGCACUUGGGUCCAAUGAGAUUCAAAGAUUAUGGAAAUGGGGCAAAAGUGAACAGAACCCAAUUGUCAUGGAUUGCUCUCUUGCUCGCUGUGCACUUAUAACUUGCCUUUCACCACCGACUUAUGAAGAAAUACUGGGCCGGUAGGAUGGAGAUUGAGACGACGACAUUUUGAGGCUGUAACAUCCUUUAUUAAAUGUUGCAGGAAGUUCUUCCCUUCAGGUUCUGCCGCUGAGAUAUGGUCUGAAUUCAGGGACUUCACACAAGGUCAGUUGAAGCAGUAGUAGCCAGACGGGGAAAUAUCAAUCCUUGGUAAGUACUUCACUUGGUUAUACUUGUACUAUCAAGUUUAAAUUUGUGGAUUUGACACUCAGUUUAUACUUGCGAGGUAUUUGCGCUGGUGGGAAGUGAACUGCAGUGGGGUUGGCAUCAACUUGUGUACCUUCUAGAUUACCAGGACCAAAGAUAGUGCCAACUUAUGAACUUUUCCAGCUGAAAGUACAUUUACUGAGGAGGAGGAUGUUUCCAUCGAUUUCAAAAGCAGUUGGAGUGGAUACUGGUGUUUUGGAGCUUAAAGAAAUAGGAAGACAAUCGGAAAUGCUGUUCUCAAUCCUGAACCCAUGAUAUCAGGGAAGAUAUUGAGGAAGGAGUUCAUCAAGCUUGCACUGUCCAUUAGGAUCGCCUACAUCGAGUUUUCUGAUGCCCAAGCUUUCAACAAAGCAAGCCUGCAAAGCAUAUAGAGCUUAGUUGCGGUUAUUUGAAUGAUGCUCUAUUUCAUCAGAAGGGUGGAGAACAAAGCAGCUAAGAUUUGUAAGUUCCAUGUAUUCAAGUUUCUAUGUAUUCCCUCAGAAAUUUGGAACCUUCCAUGUAUUCCCUUAGAAAUUUGAUACUCAACAAAAAAAAAAAAAAAAAAAAAAA